Molecule: long non-coding RNA, 421 nt
Filed under: Homo sapiens (human)
Lineage: Eukaryota; Metazoa; Chordata; Mammalia; Primates; Hominidae
Description: HSALNT0202230
Source: RNAcentral
UCAGGCCCCUCAAUUCUUUUUUGUCUCUGGGAAGAAGAGCAAACCAGCAUUGGAAGGAAGAGAAAGGAAUUUCUUGAAAGGCAGAAAAGCCACAGAAAAAAGAGCCCAUAGUAUGUGGAAGACAUGACUGACCACUCACCACCAGAUCUUCAGCAAUCUAAGAAAUGGGGCUGUAUCUUGCAUGAACCUAAGGGAAGAAAAACUGGCUGGAAUUUUGUAUAACAGUUUUGUUUUAUGAACCAGCACUACCUUACCCAACCAUUUUACUGUAAGUUGUUUUCUUUCUUUUUCUUUUGGAGUUGGACUCCUUUUUAUUAGGUGAGAUGCUGAGAUGUUCGGGGCCUGUGGCCCUGCUCCAGGUGCUAGGCUGGAAACGCAUCAUGUGUUCUGGCCAGAAGACUUCCUGAGGGGUUGAAGAAGG